Molecule: ribosomal RNA, 468 nt
Filed under: uncultured bacterium
Lineage: Bacteria
Description: partial 16S ribosomal RNA
Rfam family: Bacterial small subunit ribosomal RNA
Source: RNAcentral
GACGAACGCUGGCGGCGUGCUUAACACAUACAAGUCGAACGGAAAGGCCCUGCUUUUGUGGGGUGCUCGAGUGGCGAACGGGUGAGUAACACGUGAGUAACCUGCCCUUGACUUUGGGAUAACUUCAGGAAACUGGGGCUAAUACCGGAUAGGAGCUCCUGCUGCAUGGUGGGGGUUGGAAAGUUUCGGCGGUUGGGGAUGGACUCGCGGCUUAUCAGCUUGUUGGUGGGGUAGUGGCUUACCAAGGCUUUGACGGGUAGCCGGCCUGAGAGGGUGACCGGCCACAUUGGGACUGAGAUACGGCCCAGACUCCUACGGGAGGCAGCAGUGGGGAAUAUUGCACAAUGGGCGGAAGCCUGAUGCAGCAACGCCGCGUGCGGGAUGACGGCCUUCGGGUUGUAAACCGCUUUCGCCUGCGACGAAGCGUGAGUGACGGUAAUGGGUAAAGAAGCACCGGCUAACUACGUG